RNAcentral lists this ribosomal RNA (244 nucleotides) under uncultured bacterium. RNAcentral describes it as "partial 16S ribosomal RNA". It matches the Rfam family "Bacterial small subunit ribosomal RNA", at positions 524 to 765 of the family's 1533-position model. The record is from RNAcentral.
UACGAAGGGGGCUAGCGUUGCUCGGAAUCACUGGGCGUAAAGCGCACGUAGGCGGAUCUUUUAAGUCAGGGGUGAAAUCCCAAGGCUCAACCUUGGAACUGCCUUUGAUACUGGGGAUCUCGAGUCCGGAAGAGGUUGGUGGAACUGCGAGUGUAGAGGUGAAAUUCGUAGAUAUUCGCAAGAACACCAGUGGCGAAGGCGGCCAACUGGUCCGGAACUGACGCUGAGGUGCGGAAAGCGUGGG